GACGAACGCUGGCGGCGUGCUUAACACAUGUAAGUCGAGCGGAGCGGCGAACGGGUGAGUAACGCGUGAGUAAAUGCCCCCCUCUCUGGGAUAACAGUUGGAAACGGCUGCUAAUACCGGAUAGUGGGGGAUGACUCGCGUACUAUCAGCUUGUUGGUGGGGUAGUGGCCUACCAAGGCGACGACGGGUAGCAGGCCUGAGAGGGCGACCGGCCACAUUGGUCUGAGUGACGGCCCGAACUCCUACGGGAGGCAGCAGGGGGGAAUAUUGCAAAAUGGGGGAAACCCUGAUGCAGAGCCGCCGCGUUCGGGAUGACGGCCUUCGGGUGGGAAACCGCUUUCAGCCAUGACGCGGUAGUGGCAGAAGAAGCACCGGCUAACUACGUGCCAGCAGCCGCGGUAAUAC
This 405-nucleotide ribosomal RNA is filed under the name uncultured bacterium. Its description in RNAcentral is "partial 16S ribosomal RNA". It matches the Rfam family "Bacterial small subunit ribosomal RNA", at positions 28 to 526 of the family's 1533-position model. The record is from RNAcentral.